UACGUAGGGUGCAAGCGUUGUCCGGAAUUAUUGGGCGUAAAGAGCUCGUAGGCGGUUUGUCGCGUCUGCUGUGAAAACCUGAGGCUCAACCUCGGACUUGCAGUGGGUACGGGCAGACUAGAGUGUGGUAGGGGAGACUGGAAUUCCUGGUGUAGCGGUGGAAUGCGCAGAUAUCAGGAGGAACACCGGUGGCGAAGGCGGGUCUCUGGGCCGAUA
Molecule: ribosomal RNA, 216 nt
Filed under: uncultured bacterium
Lineage: Bacteria
Description: partial 16S ribosomal RNA
Rfam family: Bacterial small subunit ribosomal RNA
Source: RNAcentral